AGAGUGUUUACAAAAGUGAUUCAAAGAAAUAAACUUUGAACUCUUAUAAAUUAUUUAUAGUUUGAAAUAUAUGCUAGCUCAAGUGACCAUCCUCAAUAAGAAGUAUAGAAGAAGUACUUAGACUUAUAGAAGGUCGUGCCCACCGGCGCUUAACACCAAUCACAAUCAAAGUGACUCGUAACCUGCAGCAACAAUGGGAAUAAAACCCUAAGUACGCAAGUACUCAGCAAGACUUACCCGACUAAAAAAAGACUCUCAAGGAUAUGCUGGCUAGAGGGAGUCAAGGUAAAGCUUAUCAAGAAUCAAAGACUCUUUUGCAGAAAUGCUUACUAAUAAUGGAUCCUUAAAAAUUCAGUUUUAUUGUCAGGUUAAGUGAAGUUACCUGUAUCUACAGUUCUUUCUAUCCUAGUUCAAGCACUUGGCCUACACUAGCCGUCUUUUUAUCAUCCCAUCAGUUCACUGGAUUGCUACGUGUAAGUCAGUGACCAAGUCUUCAUGUCCGAGAAGUAACGGCGAUCCGAAUCGAUUAAUACUCAGCUGAGGAUCUCCAAUCACACGACAUAUGUAGCACUUAACCCUUGCAUAUGUCAACUCGCCACCAGGUUUCUUGAGACCAGACUGGGUUCACGCCAACCGAGAGCACAGAUACACCACCGUCCAGCCUCUUGCCACGGAGGGUACACGCUACUCUCGCCAUCUCUCCACUCCCAUUGUGUGUUGGCCUUUCUGGUACUAGUCUGCCUGAGGCAAAUCUUACCCAUGACGAGGCAUGUGACCAGUUAAAGGGUCCUCGGUCAGCAUGCCCACAUCGACACGGUCCUUAAUCGACUCAGACGGAGACAUUACACCGAGACUCCCUUCUCGUGCAAGUCAACCGCCCGGUCUCAGCUUUAUUAUUUAAACCCAAAGUUUGGUACCUAGCAGAUGUACAUCUUUUUCGAUGUUGAACCCAUCAAGGCCUUUGACGAAUUCACCAUCAUAAGUAUUUGCUUUUUGAAAACAUUCCCACCCACUGAAACAUCACUUUUUUUUAAAACAAAACAUUUUUGUUUGCUAAAGCAAGGCUAAGCAUCAUAAAAUUCUUUUCAAAAAGGGUAUCAAGGAAGGGUAAUCAAUUUUUCAAGGAAGAAAAUGCAUCAAUUGUUUAGCAUACAACUCCUAUCACCUAAUGCAUCAAACAAGAUGAUAAAUAUUUUAAAACCACAAGGAGGUGGCAAAUGCACCGGGGCUUGCCUGGAAUAAACACUACGUUAGUGUUUGUUAGAUGUUGUCCACUUGACGACCAUCCUUUUGUGUGGCACUUGUUCAGCUUGCCCAUCUUCAGAUUCGUCCAUCAGCUUCAUUAUGCGGAGUAGUCCACCCAUUACGUCAUCUUGGGGUCGACUCGGCUCUUGUUCUCCGCAUCACGUGGUUAAUCAACGUACCUAAAUGAUUUGCAUAAUGCACAUGAAUGCAUAUAGACAGGAAUAUCACAAACCUAAAUAGUGCUACGCGAUAGCGAAUUAAACACCUAGCGGCGAGGCGUUGUACAAUUUCAUACGUAAACACUAGUUAUCGACAUACGACUACGCGCAAUAAUCACAAAAUAAUAAACUAUACAUACUAAUUACAGCACGCGCAUUUCUCCUGUUCAAUCACAUCUAAUUUUAUUAUCAAGCAAGAAUAAAUUAUAAACACACACUAUCAUUUUUAGUAAAAUAUUUUUCAGAGGUCAAACCUGGACUUGCUAUUAUUAAAUGCCAACGACUUAAAAUAGUUAUAGAAACAAUCUAAUUAACUCUUUAAACUGUGUAUCUUUAUUAACUUGAUUUAAUGAUUUAUCUAAAUCGAACAUCACAAUAUACGUAUGCUAAAUUAAUAACAAUUAUUGUGACCAACAAUUCUAUUUAAUCUAUUUAUAUACCUAGUUGACUGGAAUAAUGAAUCAACUUACCAUCAAUUAAAUCCGACUUGAAACAACGAAAUCGACGACGCCUUUCAGCUUAGCAUUUCACCGAAAAUAGGGUGAGUGUUGCGUCGAAUCGCGUUUCAUCUUCAUCCAUAUCG
Molecule: long non-coding RNA, 2046 nt
Filed under: Zea mays
Lineage: Eukaryota; Viridiplantae; Streptophyta; Magnoliopsida; Poales; Poaceae
Description: long non-coding RNA (ZMAY_LNC000016)
Source: RNAcentral